AACGAACGCUGGCGGCAUGCCUAACACAUGCAAGUCGAACGGGAUCCUGGUUUCGGCCAGGUGAGAGUGGCGGACGGGUGAGUAACGCGUGGGAACCUGCCCAGUGGUGGGGGAUAACUGCGGGAAACGUAGCAGCUAAUACCGCAUGAGCCCGAAAGGGAAAGAUUGAUCGCCAUUGGAGGGGCCCGCGUUCGAUUAGGUAGUUGGUGAGGUAACGGCUCACCAAGCCUUCGACGAUAGCUGGUCUGAGAGGAUGAUCAGCCACACUGGGACUGAGAUACGG
Molecule: ribosomal RNA, 283 nt
Filed under: uncultured bacterium
Lineage: Bacteria
Description: partial 16S ribosomal RNA
Rfam family: Bacterial small subunit ribosomal RNA
Source: RNAcentral